Molecule: ribosomal RNA, 254 nt
Filed under: uncultured bacterium
Lineage: Bacteria
Description: partial 16S ribosomal RNA
Rfam family: Bacterial small subunit ribosomal RNA
Source: RNAcentral
UACGAAGGGGGCUAGCGUUGCUCGGAAUCACUGGGCGUAAAGGGUGCGUAGGCGGGUCUUUAAGUCAGGGGUGAAAUCCUGGAGCUCAACUCCAGAACUGCCUUUGAUACUGAGGAUCUUGAGUUCGGGAGAGGUGAGUGGAACUGCGAGUGUAGAGGUGAAAUUCGUAGAUAUUCGCAAGAACACCAGUGGCGAAGGCGGGUCUCUGGGCCGAUACUGACGCUGAGGAGCGAAAGCGUGGGGAGCAAACAGGG